AUCAAAACCCUACCCUCUCGUAUCAGCUCCGCACGCCGACUUCACCCUUUUCACUCACAGUGAUGGCGAUUUCCAGACUCUCUCUCUCUCUCUCUCUCUCUCGGUUUCUGAUGUCUGUGACCUCCACGAUGGCGAUUCCCUGCUGUAACAGUGAGUCUCUCUCUCUCUCUCUCUCUCUCUCUCUCUGCAACAGUGAUGGCGAUUUGUUGUUGUUGAUCCGACAAACGCGAUGGUUUGACGAUAGUCUACGGAAAUAUCAAACCCUCCAUCCUCAUCUGCUUGCUGCUCUCGGCGAUUGAGGCUGCCCCUCCCCCCCAUCUCUCUUGCACAAUGGCACAAGCAGCCAACCGCAACUCCCAUGGCGAUGACACGUGUGCUGAGCACCAGAGUUCGUCACGGUCUCUACCUCGAUGAGCCGAAGUUCCCUCCGCGAGCUAGACUGCGCUCAUCCAGCCAGGUCCGCCACACGACAGUUCUAAGGUCAUCUCUCUCUGUGUGUGUUUGUCCGUACGUUUCCCUAAAUUUGAAACCCUAAAGUUUCUCUAAACAUGGGUACUGAAAGUAUUGUUUGAUAUUUUUCUUCUUUUGUGUUCCCUCUAACUUUGAAACCCUAAGAUUGCAUCUUUGUCAGAUUUAGGUUUUAGGAGUUGUGGGUUUGUACGAAAAUCAUAUGAAGUAGUUCACAUUGAGCAAAAUUUUGGCAAAUCUGCAAUCAUGAUGCGAUUCUGGUACAAAGUUUGCUAUUUUGGGCGUAUUGCAAUUUAUUUGGUCUAUUUGGGACAGAUUGGUUGAACAAAGAGUAUGAAAAGUUAUCUGUUUGCUGUUUUAUUUGCAUUACUCUGAUUUUAAGAAUUUUUGCCGUAUGUUUCUUAUUUGGUACAAGUUUUUGUAAACAAUCAAACUAAUCUUAUCUCAACUGCUUAGAUGAAUCAAAUGCUUAAUAAAUCUGAUUUGGAGUGUUCUACGAUUCGGGGAAUAGGUGAUUGCCUCUCUGUUUGUAAUUGUAAUUUGUUUUCUGAAACUGUUUUGAUUUCUCAGUUUGAGUACACAUGUUUUUCGUGUUAGGUGCAGCACUGUAAUGCAAUUGGCACAAAGGCUUGUCCAAUUUGUAUUAACUGACAAAUGCCUUUUUGAUUUAGACUUGUGUUUGUCAAAGAGAAUUUUAUUUUGAAGCUAAUGGCUUUAGUGUUUGGGAUAACUCUGAAUAUGACUUUGGGUUGCGAGUGUUUGUAUAAGAUACGAUAGUUGUAGUGGCUUCUGGUCUCCACUUGUCGGCACACAGGUUGUUUAUUCGGUUAUGCAAUUUUUUUCAUUGCUACCCUUAAUAUUACCAUUGGCACAUUCAAACAAUUGAGGAAAGCGAGAAUCGACAUCAAUUUGAACAUGGAUUCGGACAAACUAAGUCUCUUUAAUAUCUUAGUCGUAACAUCAAUAUAAUAAUGAAGGAAAUUUUUUGAACCAAGACAUGAGGAAGGGCUGAGAUUGAGAGCUACAAAGAGCAAUGGAUGGGAUGGAGUUGACCACCUUCAAUUUUUUGCCGCCCAUCAUCACACAACACAGUUCUAUGGUUUAGUGACAUAGAAAUUAUAAAUUAGAAUCCAAGUUUGAAUCAUCAAACUGGUAUACGUAUGGCUCAACAUUAGAAUGAGGAAAAAGAGUAAUUUCAAAUUUAUUUACCUCAAUGACAAAAAACUAUUGAGCCAUGUGUAUAUGUGAUUAUGGAUUAGUGACUUUUGUAUGUGUGGUUAUUUGAACUAUGAUCCCAUUUUGCUAAAUGCCUUCUAACCUUGGAGUUGCAAUGGUCUGCCGACCACUUACAUCUAGCCUACUAGCCAUAUGAUCUUUGCUUGGUGGCUCCCCUACCUCCGCAAAUAUCCCUUGCCUCCCCCUUGACUCCGUCCCCAUCAGCGGCCUUUCAAAAGCUGGGCUAUAUUUGAGGAGAGAAAAAAUAAACAUUUCGGCAUUUUUUUUUUGUUUUCUUUCUCUGUUUAUCGUAGAAAUUUGCUCUCUUUUCCCCUUUUAUAUUUUUGAAAAGGAACCAAAUUGGUUAGAACUAACAUUAUAAUGCUCUUUUUUAUUUCAUAGGAAGGGCGGUCUUUGAUUUGGUUUUGCAUAAGUGAAUAACUUGAUGGAAUCAAAGAAGAAAUCCUUUUUCUUCUUCGUUAGUCCAUAAUCAGGUAUCUCAAUUGGUAUACGUAUUCUUAAUUUCCUUAGAAUCACCGGAGUUCAUGGAAAGUGGUUUCCAGAGCUUGAAGGGAACUUCUUUUGGAGCAAGAGAAGCUAAAGGAUUGUUAGAAAUGGCAGGGAAGAAAUGCACCAAUAUGGAGAUGCUAAUGGAGGCAAAUGAAGAGGAAUUGAAUUCAAUUUGAAGCAGGGACAAUCUACACUUCAUGUGUGGAAAUUCAAGUGAGGAAAGUUUACUGCAUCAGCAAGGCAGUGCCUACCUUACUUAUUAAUAUCAAGGAUGCUGCAUGUUGUGAAGUUGAAAUUGACGAGGUUUUGCAGAUAUUCAGACAGUUCUUACAAUCUGAAGGCUUUGUGGGGAUUCAUACCCCAAAGUUGAUAGCAGGCUUUAGUGAGGGUGGCUCAGCUGUUCUUACUAUCCAAGGUGAUGGAUAUUGUGGACUGCUUGUUUGUUGCACUGUUUGACAGUUUGAAUGAAAGCUUGAAGCCUUCAAAAAACAAUAUCCAUUUGAGCCUUUAAAGUACUUGAGAAAGACCUUCCGGCUUGCUUUUGAAGAGGGGUCCAAUUGCUAAAGUGCAAGUGGAUAACGUAAGCUUGGGCUGUCCAAUGGGUGAACCGAAUCGUCCCCGCGAACCAAACCAAGGCAACAAAGCUAUGCUCCGCAAUCUUGUCGAACUUGAGGGAACAAGGGGGGAUAACCCCAAUGGGUCAAUUGUUGCAUAAUCGGUCAACUCUAAACCCCCUGUUUUUUUGUUAGUUUAUACUCUCUGUUUUUUGUUCUGGUGUAACGAGGAGGGAGUGGCAACCGCCACAAACUUGUGGUGGUCGUCAGUAUGUUGUAUAUUGCAUGUGGUGGUUGUUCGACCUUAAGUGGCGACCAUCAGUUGUGACGAUUGCCAGUGAUUGUGGCAAUUGUACUUCUUGCGAUCAUCAAUGACUUUGAUGAUCGCCAGAGUCUCUGACGACAAGUGACUCUGCUUUCUGUUUUUCUAACUUGUUUUCCCUUUCCCCCUGCCCAAUAUUAGCUUAUUUUUGUUCUGAUGCAAACCAAAAUACUCAUAGAUUAACUUAGAGAGAGAGUCCCAAAAGGGAUACAAAAGAGACUAGCUCUUGAUAAUAUUUCUUCAAAAUGAUAAAAACUACUAAAUGAAGGACUCCAACACAUAUAUAUAUACAGAUCCUUUAACCACUAAGAGCAUCUGAAUUUCAAAUUUAUUUACCUCAAUGAAAAAAACUUGUUGGCAUACAGGUUGUUUUUUGGGUUACACUUGGAUCUUUUUUUUUCUUGGCGAUAAUACUCUUGAUCCUAGCCAAAAGAUCGCAAACUGAUGGUAUAAAUAAUUUUUUUAGUCAGCGAUACUACACUUGAUCUUAGCCAAAAAGAUCGAACAGAUACUACCCUUGAUCUUUUUUUUUAAUCUUCGAUACUACAUUUGAUCUUAGCAAAAAGAUCGAACAGAUAAUACGUUUGAUCCUUUUUUUUGAUCAUCGAUACUACACGUGACAUUAGACAUUAGCCAAAAGGCCGAGAACAUAUGCUGCACUUGAUCGGAGAUACUACCCUUUAUUUCAGCCAAAAGGCCGAGAACAUAUUCUACCAUUGGAUCUUUUUUUUUUAAUCAGUGAUACUAUACUUGAUCAUAGUCAAAAAGCCGAGAACAGAUACUACACUUGAUUUUUUUUUAAUUGGCGAUACUACAUUUGAUUUUAGCCAAAAGAUCGUGAAUAGUUACUACACUUUAUCCUUCUUUUCAUCGGCGAUACUACACUUUAUCUUAGCCAAAAGACCGAGGCAAUACUAGACUUGAUCUUUUUUUGGAAGGGGAAGAAUGGAGAGAGAAAUGGGCUUAGUUGCACGAAGCGGGAUCGGGUGCGGAAGCGGGGGCGGGAGCGAGGGAAUACAGAAGCUCCGAAGUAGGUUGGGAGCGUGUACAUAUAUUAUAAAAAUAAUGUAGAAUUGAGUAUUCACUUUAAAGUACGAUCAUUUUAGGAAGUAAAAAUAUGGGCCAAGCCCUCCAUAAGUAUAAGAAAUGGGCUAGUGUUACAAUAUAAUAUGAUUUUUUUUUCAAGAUUUCAUGACUUGGGCUAGAUAUAUGAGUUCAUCAAAGACCAAUUAAUAAAGCCAAGUGAUAAAUCUCUAUUUUUCUAUACAAAGAUCAUACAAAAGCUCCCAUCUUUGUAAGGAGCGAGCUUCCGUCAAGCUCCUUAGUUGAGAGUGCAAAAGCGGGCUCCCAAGGUGGCAGCGGCACCACUUUAGGAGCUCCUUGCAGUGAGGAAAUGGGUUUGGAGAGAAGUGGGGAUUUCAGAGGAGAGGGGAAAGUGAAAAAGAAAUGGGAGAAGAGAGAAAAAAUUUACUCCGUAUGUUAAAACUAGUGGGUCCCUUAUCUUGGGGCAAGUUUGAGAGGAGAGAAGGUGGGUCCUUUUGGCUUGCCACGUCAAUGUUUUGGAGCAUGGAUGGGUUUCAUGUUCCGUAGACUUACUGUAUUGCAUUUUAAAUUUACCAUUAAUAUGACAAGAAUUCCACAUCCUUAUCUCAUUUGUUGCAUGAACAUAAUGAACUACACAGCCUAAGACUAUAGCAUUCUUGCUGUCAACUAAAAAAAGGCUUAUUAUUUUUUUUGGUAAGUAAUUGUUUUUUUUUUUUUGUGGCUUUGAGAAGUCUUAUUUCAUUUUUGAAGUGUAUGAGAAAGCAUCCUUGCAUGCUAAUUGACAUAGCUUCCUAUCAUCGGGAUUCUGAUGAACCUAGAAAUGGGUUGUGACGUAGGAUGUUGUGAAUAACACUCUCUUACUAGUUAGAAUGCUGUUAAGUGAGAGACAAUUGUUAAAUGGACUUGUAUGGGCAGGUUGGUGAGUUAUUUGGCUGAAAAUGGUAUAAGAUGAUUUUUAAGGUUUUUGCAAGGAUAGCAAAACGGUUUGAGACUUGAGUGCUACGAUUCAUGGUAAGAAAAGUGAUGCUGGUGACUUUGAGUAGUGAUUUUUGCUGAUGAAAUAGUUGCUCUGUGGAACUGGUUUGGCUAUAGAAGUUCAUAAUAUACCGAAAUUUAUAGACCUUGGAAGCAAAAUAAAGCUUCUGAGCUUCUUAUCCGUAACAUUGGUAUUCAUUUAAUUUGAACCUGAGAAUAUUACAGAAUGUGACUAUUAUGGAAGAACAACAAGCGAAAGAACUGCUUAUAUUAAUAAUUGAGUUGAUUAAAACGUACAUUGCAAAGCUGGGUAUAAAUAACUCUAGGAAUGAUACAACGAUGGUAAACCUAAUCAAGCCUAUUUUGUGCCCUAAAUAGAGAGAUACAGUACGAGAUGGUUAAUGGGUCCAUGCUUUAUCUGUUGAGGUAAACUUACUAAUUAUUUUGUUGAUAAUUCAUUAGGUGAAAGAAGGUGUUUUACCUAUAGUUUCCUUACUCUAGUUGGAAUGUAUUUAAACUUGUUCCUUUUUUUAAUUUUUUAUGUUGUAUUGGGUUUUAGAAAAAAGAUUCAGAAGGGGCAAGUGAAUCUUGUUGAGGGAAUAGUACGUGAAUGUGCUUGGAGUACCAUUUACGAUAAAAAUGGAAUUUUGUCGUGCAUUUCAUUGCUACUUAAAAAGGUGGUGAUGAAUACUUCCUCCAUCCCGCAAAGAUAGUCUACCACGAAAAGAUGUGCAAUUUUAAGAUUAAAAAAACAAAGUACUUAUGUGCAUAAAUUUUUUAUUUUUUAUUUUUUGUAUUUUUUUUGGCAAAACGUAGAGAUUUAAUCUUUAAUUUGGUGUCAUGAAAUUUUAAAAUUAUGUAUAGAAGUACUUUGUUUUUUAUUCAAAAAUUUCACACUAUUUGCUAUGGACUAUCUUUGUGGGUGGAAGGGAGUAGUUUUUUUGCAAUGGUUUAUAAACAGUGGCAGUAAGCUGGAAUUUGUAAGCAAUUUUUGCUUUCUUUGGUCCAUACGUCAAAGAUCAUGUGAUAGUGAUACUUACCUUUGUUGUAGUGGAACAAACUCCAGGAGUCAAUCUUGAAGGGGAGUGAUGUUUGUUACAUCUGUCAUCGCAAACAAGGUGUCUGCAUAAAGGUGAAGAUUGCCACAUGAGUCUCCAUUUUUCUCUUCUUCCUAUCUCUGUAUGGAUUGUGAGUAUAUACUUAGAUUAAGGACACACUGCGAAGUCUUAGAGUAUAUCUCUCCCAUUCGCUUGCGAGGCUUCAAAUUCGUAAGUAUUCUCUUAUUAUGCAGAGCCCUGGCUGGUGGUGCUUAGAUUCUUAUGUUAAAUGCAGAGCCCUGGCUGGUGGUGCUUAGUUUUGUGCUCAUUUAGUUGACAUUUGGCUUGUAUUGUGAUUGUUGCUAUAAAAAUUGUUAAGUAUUAACUCUUUAAGGACACACUUUAUUUUUAAUAGGCCUUAGGCUAUUGGUCACUGAAAAAGUGAUUCCUAAUAGAGGGCUACUGCCUACCAAGGACGGAAUUUGUAAAAAUAUUGUUUGACAAUGUAGCUUUGAUGGGCCUAAAAUAUAUAAUGCUCUAAUUCAAAAGAAA
This is a long non-coding RNA of Rhododendron vialii, 6677 nucleotides long. RefSeq lists it as uncharacterized. The record is from RefSeq and is a predicted model, not a curated record. The transcript has 8 exons. NCBI's taxonomy places the organism in Eukaryota, Viridiplantae, Streptophyta, Magnoliopsida, Ericales, Ericaceae.